GCGAGAGUGGCGGAAUUGGUAGACGCGCUGGGUUCAGGGUCCAGUGGCCGUUUGGCUGUGGGGGUUCGACUCCCCCCUCUCGCACCA
Molecule: transfer RNA, 87 nt
Filed under: Rickettsiales bacterium
Lineage: Bacteria; Pseudomonadati; Pseudomonadota; Alphaproteobacteria; Rickettsiales
Description: tRNA-Leu
Rfam family: tRNA
About the family: Transfer RNA (tRNA) molecules are approximately 80 nucleotides in length. Their secondary structure includes four short double-helical elements and three loops (D, anti-codon, and T loops).
Source: RNAcentral